This 16-nucleotide microRNA is filed under the name Macrophomina phaseolina MS6. RNAcentral describes it as "miR-4291". The record is from RNAcentral. Lineage: Eukaryota; Fungi; Ascomycota; Dothideomycetes; Botryosphaeriales; Botryosphaeriaceae.
UUGAGCAGGAACAGGU